GAAUUCGCCCUUAGAGUUUGAUCCUGGCUCAGGACGAACGCUGGCGGCGCGCCUAACACAUGCAAGUCGAACGAGCGAGAGAGAGCUUGCUUUCUCGAGCGAGUGGCGAACGGGUGAGUAACGCGUGAGGAACCUGCCUCAAAGAGGGGGACAACAGUUGGAAACGACUGCUAAUACCGCAUAAGCCCACGACCCGGCAUCGGGUAGAGGGAAAAGGAGCAAUCCGCUUUGAGAUGGCCUCGCGUCCGAUUAGCUAGUUGGUGAGGUAACGGCCCACCAAGGCGACGAUCGGUAGCCGGACUGAGAGGUUGAACGGCCACAUUGGGACUGAGACACGGCCCAGACUCCUACGGGAGGCAGCAGUGGGGAAUAUUGCACAAUGGGGGAAACCCUGAUGCAGCGACGCCGCGUGGAGGAAGAAGGUCUUCGGAUUGUAAACUCCUGUUGUUGAGGAAGAUAAUGACGGUACUCAACAAGGAAGUGACGGCUAACUACGUGCCAGCAGCCGCGGUAAAACGUAGGUCACAAGCGUUGUCCGGAAUUACUGGGUGUAAAGGGAGCGCAGGCGGGAAGACAAGUUGGAAGUGAAAUCCAUGGGCUCAACCCAUGAACUGCUUUCAAAACUGUUUUUCUUGAGUAGUGCAGAGGUAGGCGGAAUUCCCGGUGUAGCGGUGGAAUGCGUAGAUAUCGGGAGGAACACCAGUGGCGAAGGCGGCCUACUGGGCACCAACUGACGCUGAGGCUCGAAAGUGUGGGUAGCAAACAAAAUUAGAUACCCUGGUAGUCCACACUGUAAACGA
Molecule: ribosomal RNA, 800 nt
Filed under: uncultured bacterium
Lineage: Bacteria
Description: bacterial SSU rRNA
Rfam family: Bacterial small subunit ribosomal RNA
Source: RNAcentral